AACGAAACCUGGGCUUCAGGCCCUCGCUCUCUCUUCAUCUCUACUGAAUUUCUUGCUUCUCCGAGAGUCUCUGGUUCAAUCUCCGAUCAGUUAAUUAGUGGAAAUGGAUAACCAUGAAGAUGAGUGCCGUGUUGCUGGCGAACCACAGGCCAAGCAAGAGGAUGAGGAAGCUGUGGCUCGACUUGUGGAAAUGAAAAAAUCAAUCGAGGCAAAAGUUUCUCUUCGUCAAAGCAAUUUGAAUCCCGAAAGGCCUGAUUCAGGAUUUCUCAGAACAUUGGAUUCAAGUAUUAAGCGUAAUACAGCAGUUAUUAAAAAAUUAAAGCAGAUAAAUGAAGAGCAGAGGGAAGGGCUAAUGGAUGAGUUGCGAAAUGUAAACCUUAGCAAAUUUGUUAGUGAAGCUGUAACGGCUAUUUGUGAUGCAAAGCUUAGAACUUCUGACUUACAAGCAGCAGUUCAGAUCUGCUCUUUGCUUCAUCAAAGGUACAAAGACUUCUCACCAAGCCUGGUUCAAGGGCUUUUAAAGGUCUUUUUCCCUGGAAAAUCGGGGGAAGACAUGGAUGUGGAUAGGAACUCAAAAGCUAUGAAGAAGCGGAGCACCUUGAAACUGCUACUGGAACUUUACUUUGUUGGAGUUAUAGAAGACAGCAGUAUUUUCAUCAAUAUCAUUAAGGAUCUUACUAGUGUGGAACACUUGAAGGACCGGGAUGCGACUCAGACAAAUCUAACUCUCCUUGCUAGUUUUGCUCGACAAGGGAGAAUUUUCCUAGGACUGCCUCUAUCUGGACAAGAAAUUCAUGAAGAGUUUUUCAAGGGCUUUAAUAUCACAGCAGAUCAAAAGAAAAUAUUCAGGAAAUCCUUUAAUACAUAUUUUGAUGCUGUAUCAGAAUUACUUCGGUCUGAGCACACUUCUCUUAGCCAAAUGGAGCAUGAAAAUACAAAGAUCUUGAAUGCUAAAGGAGAGCUCAGUGAUGAAAAUGUUGCAUCUUAUGAAAAGCUGCGAAAAUCUUAUGACAAUUUAUAUCGCCAUGUUUCAUCUUUGGCUGAAGCCCUUGACAUGCCACCUCCAGAGAUGCCAGAAGAUGGCCACACUACUAGGGUUACUACUGGAGAGGAUUCUCCGUCACCUGCUGUGGGGAAAGAUUCUUCUGUUCUUGAAGCUUUGUGGGAUGAUGAAGAUACUAGGGCAUUUUAUGAAUGCUUACCAGAUCUCAGAGCAUUUGUUCCAGCUGUGUUGUUGGGAGAAGCAGAGCCCAAAGUGAAUGAACAAUCUGCAAAGAGUCAAGAGCAACAGAGUGACGUGGCACCUGAAUCAGACCAAGGCCGACCUACUCAAGAUACUGCAGAUUCCUCUGCUGACUCUGGUACUUUCCAGGAGGGAAAAAGCAUUGAGAAAGGAAAGGAUAAGGAAGACAAGGAUAAAGAAAAAGCUAAAGAUCCAGAAAAAGAGAAGGGUAAAGAAAAGGAUGCAGAGAGAAAAGGAGAGAUUGAAAAGGAGAAACUCAAAGGUCUUGAAGGGACAAACUUGGAUGCUUUACUGCAGAGGCUCCCUGGUUGUGUCAGUCGUGAUCUUAUUGAUCAAUUGACUGUAAACAUACUGCUGCCUUCCCAAGACUUGCCAUACUAUGGAAUCUUUUUUUAAAAUUGAUGCACCUCUUUAAUGACCAUCUUAUCAAUUAUGUUCCUUGUCAAUAUUUUUUCAGGUAGAGUUUUGUUAUUUAAAUUCAAAGUCAAAUCGGAAAAAACUUGUGAAGGCAUUGUUUAAUGUACCCAGGACAUCUCUAGAACUGCUACCAUACUACUCUCGAAUGGUUGCCACACUAUCAACUUGUAUGAAGGACGUCUCUUCCAUUCUCGUACAGAUGUUAGAGGAGGAGUUCAAUUUCUUGUUAAAUAAGAAGGAUCAAAUGAACAUCGAAACAAAGAUCAGGAAUAUUAGAUUUAUUGGAGAACUCUGCAAGUUUAGAAUUGCACCAGCUGGCCUUGUCUUCAAUUGUUUGAAGGCUUGUUUAGAUGAUUUCACUCAUCAUAACAUUGAUGUUGCUUGCAAUCUUCUUGAGACAUGUGGCCGUUUUCUGUAUCGGUCUCCUGAAACUACUGUACGUAUGGCUAAUAUGUUAGAGAUAUUGAUGCGCCUGAAAAAUGUCAAAAAUUUGGAUCCCCGGCAUAGCACACUUGUAGAAAAUGCUUACUAUCUUUGCAAACCACCUGAAAGAUCAGCACGAGUGUCUAAAGUCCGCCCCCCACUAUUUCAGUAUAUUAGAAAAUUAUUAUUCUUGGAUUUAGACAAGUCUUCCAUUGAGCAUGUGCUGAGGCAACUUCGUAAAUUACCAUGGAGUGAAUGUGAGGCGUACCUUUUAAAGUGCUUUAUGAAAGUUCAUAAGGGCAGAUAUGGUCAAAUAAACUUAAUUGCUUCUCUUACUGCCGGUUUGAGCCGCUAUCAUGAUGAAUUUGCAGUUGCUGUUGUUGAUGAGGUUUUGGAGGAGAUCAGGGUUGGACUAGAAUUAAAUGAGUAUGGGAUGCAGCAGAGGCGCUUGGCCCACAUGCGGUUCUUAGGAGAGUUAUACAACUAUGAACUGGUGGAUUCAUCUGUAAUUUUUGAGACACUCUAUUUGAUCCUUGUUUUUGGUCAUGACACAACAGAGGUAUGGCAUUUGUCAUAUUAAUACAUUUCCAUAAAUGCGUGUGGUCAUAAUAUAUGCAAAGUUUAAGGAGAAAACAUUCCACUGGUGCAUAUGCCCUAAUAAUUUUCACAUCGGUUCAUCUUUAAUGAAAGGCGUGUCUUAAGAAUGCAUUAGUGUGAACUUGCUACUGGCUGCCUGUUUGGAGUAAGCUAAAGUGAAAAUAAGCAAAGACAUGCAUCUACUUCUUGUUAUCAAGAACAUCAUGCUUCUCUAAUAUGAACAGUAUAUUUGGAAGUUGCUGGAUGAUAAAUUAAUUAUUGAAAAGUAUGAAGCAUAUGAAUGCUUACAUCAUGCAAUAUAUGGUAUCAUUUGUCGAUUCUAAUCAUCCUCUUGAUGUACUUUUUUUUUUUAAUUAUUAUACUCGUGAUUAGCAAGAUGCACCAGAUCCACCGGAGGAUUGUUUUCGCAUUAGAAUGGUUAUCACUCUUCUUGAGACCUGUGGACACUACUUUGACCGAGGUUCUUCUAAGAGGAAACUUGAUCGUUUUUUAAUACACUUUCAGAGAUAUAUUCUCAGCAAAGGUGCACUGCCGCUUGACAUUGAAUUUGACUUGCAGGACUUAUUUGCGGAAUUACGCCCUAGCAUGAUGCGAUACUCAUCAAUUGAUGAAGUUAAUGCAGCUUUUAUAGAACUCGAGGAGAAUGAACAAAUUGGUUCAACUGAUAAGGUCAAUAGUGAGAAGCACUCUGACACUGAAAAGCCUUCUAGCAGGAAUGCUGCCAAUGCCAUUUCUGCCAAUGGACAAAAUCUUGUGAAUGGUAAUGAGGAAAAUGGUGGAAUCCAUGAGGACAUUGGUGAAAGUGACACUGAUUCAGGCAGCGACACCCUUGACCAGGAAGGGCAUGAUGAAGAGGAGUUGGACGAAGAGAAUCGUGAUGAUGGAUGUGAGACAGAGGAGGAGGAUGAUGAUGAUGGGGGUGGACCAGUUUCCGAUGAGGAUGAUGAAGUCCAUUUCAGACAAAAAGUGGCUGAGGUGGAUCCAUUGGAAGCUGAAAUUUUUGAGCAGGAGUUAAAGGCAGUAUUGCAGGAGAGCAUGGAGCAGCGCAGGCAAGAGCUGCGGGGUCGGCCAACAUUGAAUAUGGUGAUACCUAUGAGCUUGUUUGAGGGGUCCACCAAAGAUUAUGGGAGGGCAGUUGGAGGGGAAAGUGGUGAUGAGGCACUGGAUGAUGAGACAGGAGGUAGCAAGGAGGUUCAGGUGAAAGUACUUGUGAAGCGUGGGAACAAGCAACAGACAAAGCAGAUGUACAUUCCUAGAGAUUGCACACUUGUGCAGAGCACGAAACAGAAAGAAGCAGCUGAGUUUGAAGAGAAACAAGAUAUUAAGAGGCUUGUCUUGGAGUAUAAUGAUAGAGAAGAGGAGGAGAAUAAUGGGUUAGGAACGCAGACAUUGAAUUGGAUGCCUAGCAGCAGCAACAGAGUUGGCAGCCGUGGCAGUACGUGGGAAGGAAGCAGUGGUAGAGGUGCUGGAUCACGACAUCGGCAUCAGCAUCAGCAUCAGCAUCAAUCAGGCAGUGGAGUUUAUCAUGGCAGAAGAAGGUAACUGACAGCAGAAGGAAGUACGUUGACAUGUUGGCACUUUCGUCCCAAUGGUAGUGUAACCCGUUACAGAUGAAAACGGGUCUUGGACUCAAAUUCAUGGCACCCAAGUUCCCACUCAGUGAUUGAAUAGCUGCAUUUACCCGUUGAGGUCUGUAGUGAGGCGAUACAUUACUCCCACUACAGAUGCCCAAACAAGUGAUGCGUAAGCUAUGUCAAUGCAAGGAUUAUUGACAAGGUUAGUGUCCAGAAUUUUGUUUGUUGGAGGAAGGUAGUGGUUAUGCUGAAUACAUACUAUACAGAAGAUUGUCACCCAUGAUUUGCACGAUGGUGAUUCCUAAAUAUGCUCAGUAGGGUGCUUAUAGUUUAGUCUUUACAUAAUGUUGCUGGGUGAGUCAGUUUCUUUUGUUGUAUAUAUAUCAAAAGUAAAAGGUUUCAUCUUAGUCACUAUCUGAGAUUUUACAUUAUAGUUUCUGUGGUUUGUAUUGUAUUGUAUAGACCACCGGAUGGCUAACAAAAAUUAUCAGAAUGGCAUGUUAUCUAGAAUGUAUGAAUCUUAGGUCGUAAGAUGUUGAUUUCUAUAGAGCUUAAAACUAUUGAACUUUCUUUGUUUGUGAUCUGUGGCAUUAAUUUCUAC
This 4855-nucleotide unclassified non-coding RNA is filed under the name Hevea brasiliensis (rubber tree). Lineage: Eukaryota; Viridiplantae; Streptophyta; Magnoliopsida; Malpighiales; Euphorbiaceae. The record is from RNAcentral.